GAAGUUGAUCUGCCUCUGAAAAAGGAUGGAUUCACAUCAGAAAGUACAACUCUGGAAGCCUUGCUGCGUGGAGAGGGAAUAGAGAAAAAAACAGACACUAAAGAGGAAGACACUAUACAAGAAAUCCAGAGGGUUUUAGAAAAUGAUGAAAAUGCAGAUGAAGUGAAUGAGGAAGAGGAUUUGGAAGAAGAUAUUCCAAAACGAAAGAACAGGCCUAGAGGACGGCCAAAGACCCCCACCUGGAAAAAAAUUUUCCAGAAAAAUGCUCGGGGCUCUGGAGGUGGCAGGAGACGGAAUGAUGCUGCCUCCCAGGAUGAUCAUGACAAACCCUAUGUUUGUGACA
Long non-coding RNA from Mesitornis unicolor (brown roatelo), 343 nucleotides. RefSeq lists it as uncharacterized. NCBI's taxonomy places the organism in Eukaryota, Metazoa, Chordata, Aves, Mesitornithiformes, Mesitornithidae. The transcript has 4 exons. The record is from RefSeq and is a predicted model, not a curated record.